Peromyscus eremicus (cactus mouse) is the source of this 603-nucleotide long non-coding RNA. RefSeq lists it as uncharacterized. Lineage: Eukaryota; Metazoa; Chordata; Mammalia; Rodentia; Cricetidae. The transcript has 3 exons. The record is from RefSeq and is a predicted model, not a curated record.
CGGCUCCUGGUAAGGGUGAGAGGGGCGACCUACUGCCUUGGUGCUGAGAAUGGACACUCAUCUGGAGCCACAAGGAUGUAAGCUACCCCUAUCACCUGGUACCUGAGGCUCUUCCCCUGUAGCUGCGUUCUCAGCAACCUGGUGUAUGGUUUGAUGAAUGAAACGACACACGGAGUCCCCAUGGAGAUGAAAGACUGUGUGCUAAUGAACACUCAGCACUGCCGUGGACAGACAGAUGCCCCUGAAGCUCAGGAAAGAAAUCUGCUCACCAUGUGGGUGGCUCCUGUUGCUGUGACAGAUGAGGGUAACGGAAGGAAGGUUCAUGCUGGACACAGCUUAAGGUCAGUCUACCAUGGUAGGGAAGGCAUGGCAGGAGGGUGAGGUGGGCGUCACACGGCCUCCAGAAGCAUGGAGAAAUGAAUGCUAGUCUUAGCUGAUGGGUUAAAGAUGUGACACCCUCAUUCAGGUUGGGUUUCCCACCUCAAUUAACCCGCUCUAAACCUCACAGACACAGUCAGAGAUCCAUUUCCAUAUAAUUCUAAAGCUUGUCAGGUUGACAACAAAGAUGAACCCUCACAAGUUCACCCCUUGCCAGCCUGACAC